This 702-nucleotide ribosomal RNA is filed under the name Triticum aestivum (bread wheat). Its description in RNAcentral is "partial small subunit ribosomal RNA". The record is from RNAcentral. Lineage: Eukaryota; Viridiplantae; Streptophyta; Magnoliopsida; Poales; Poaceae.
AUGCUUAGAAGAAUGUACCAAGGUGGUUCCUCGGCAAAGAAAGGGCCAAGGAUUGCUAUACAUGAGCAAGAUGUUAAAUUGCCGAGGGACGCAAAUGUACGGGCUUGUGAGUGGCCAUCCGAUGAUUUUAUGGUCGAAGCAGGCUUCAAGGAGGAAUUUGACGCGUAUGUGCGUAAUGCCGAGCUGGAGGACUUCUUACAAGAUAAGUGUCCUCAAUAUUAUCAAUUGACUGAUUCCUUUGUGCGGAGGUUCGAAUAUAUCUCUGCGCGUAAUUCUCCUAGUGUCAUGUUUGAUAUCUAUGAUACAUAUUAUACCAUGGAUUUAGAGGAUUUCACAACUACUUGCAAACUCCCGCAGUGGGGUAAUAUUAAUGAUCCUCCCAAAUCUGAAUUUAGAGAUUUUCUUGCUAGUAUUAUUGUGGGAGAAUCUAGGGACAUAGCGCAAGCUACCAUAGGGAGCAUUCAUUUUCCUGCUAUACAUUAUUUUGCUCUCUUUAUUGGUAGAUGCAUUAACGGCAAGGACGAAGCAUGUCACAUGUGCGUCCCUGAUCUUUGUGUCCUCAAGAGUGUUGUGUCAGGUUAUAAAGGUUAUAACUUGGGGGCAAUAGUUGCACGUAGGUUGCAGAAUAAUAGUAGAAGGGGUGAUUUCUUUGGAGGAAUUUAUGCAACCCGUGUGGCUAAUUUUCUUAAUAUAGCUCCAUGA